RNAcentral lists this ribosomal RNA (115 nucleotides) under Erythrobacter crassostreae. The record is from RNAcentral. Lineage: Bacteria; Pseudomonadati; Pseudomonadota; Alphaproteobacteria; Sphingomonadales; Erythrobacteraceae.
CUUGGUGGCUAUAGCAUCUGUGCCCCACCCGAUCCCAUCUCGAACUCGGCCGUGAAACCAGAUUGCGCCGAUGGUACUAUGCCUUAAGGUAUGGAAGAGUAGGUCGUCGCCAGGC